UAGAGGACUCCCUGUGCAUACCCACC
This 26-nucleotide non-coding RNA is filed under the name Homo sapiens (human). The record is from RNAcentral. Lineage: Eukaryota; Metazoa; Chordata; Mammalia; Primates; Hominidae.